UUAGGGUAUGACGAAAAUGGUUAUCGUAUUUAUUUUGGGUAUAAAAAGUUGUGGGUUCGAGUCCCUCUACCCUAAA
Molecule: transfer RNA, 76 nt
Filed under: Rhodogorgon sp.
Lineage: Eukaryota; Rhodophyta; Florideophyceae; Rhodogorgonales; Rhodogorgonaceae
Description: tRNA-Pro
Rfam family: tRNA
About the family: Transfer RNA (tRNA) molecules are approximately 80 nucleotides in length. Their secondary structure includes four short double-helical elements and three loops (D, anti-codon, and T loops).
Source: RNAcentral